CCUACGGGAGGCAGCAGUAGGGUAUAUUGCACAAUGGGGGAAACCCUGAUGCAGCAACGCCGCGUGGGGGAAGAAGGUUUUCGGAUUGUAAACUUCUAUUGUCAGAGAAGAUAAUGACGGUAUCUGACCAAUAAGCACCGGCUAACUCCGUGCCAGCAGCCGCGGUAAUACGUAGGGGGCAAGCGUUACCCGGAUUCACUGGGUGUAAAGAGCGCGUAGACGGGGAAGUAAGUCUGGUGUGAAAUCCUAGGGCUUAACCAUGGGACUGCUUUUGAAACUGUGAUUCUGGAGUAUAGGAGGGGUAGGUGGAAUUCUUGGUGUAGGGGUGAAAUGCGUAGAUAUCAAGAGGAAUACUCGCUGCGAAGGCGACCUGCUAGAACGUAACUGACGUUGAGGCGCGAAAGCGUGGGGAGCAAACAGGAUUAGAUACCCGUGUAGUC
RNAcentral lists this ribosomal RNA (440 nucleotides) under uncultured bacterium. Its description in RNAcentral is "partial 16S ribosomal RNA". It matches the Rfam family "Bacterial small subunit ribosomal RNA", at positions 338 to 795 of the family's 1533-position model. The record is from RNAcentral.